GCUAAUAACCUUUGUAGUUGAUGCGACAAUAAAUUAAAAAAAAAAAAUAUUGAAUUCUAUGAGUUUGAAAAUUUUUACAAGCUUCAGUAAUAUCAAAAAUCACCAGAAAUCUUAAUUAAUUAUAAUUUUAAUUUAGUGAAAUAUUUGGAUAAUGUAUCAUGUCCUUUAUGACUUAUAUUAAUAUCAUAGUUAUUGAAAAAUUUGAAAAAUUCGAUAAUUGUUGGGAAAGUCCUUAUACAUAUGGUAAGGAAAAAUGUUUUAUGUUUCAGUGCAUGAAAUUUGAAUUCACCUAAAUAAUAGUUAAUCCAUUUGACAUUUUAUUGCAGUAGGUUUCAAUGAAUCAAUGAUGAAGAAUUAUGAUUCAAGAGGAUCCUAGACUCUUAUCAGUUGGAAUUUUUGAAACCGUUGGUGACAUCCAUUCUGAACACUCUUUACACGAUACCAACACUCACAAUUUCACCGUGUGGCGCGCAUUUAGAUAACCAAAUUAUCGUCUCCAGAGACUGAAGAUAAACAAUUUAUCUUCUGAAGACGAUAACUUGGUUAUCAAAACGCGCGUCAUAUGGUGAAAUUUGAGUGAUGGUGUAGUGGUACUGUGAAGAGUGUGUUCACUACCUGAACUCUUAUGCACAUUUUUAGAACAGAAGAAACUACAUUUCAUUGAUGAAAGUUUGAUAAGGAGGCGUAAUGUACAGGUUACCAAAUUCAGAAUCAAGGUCGAUGAAUGUUUAGCGGCGGAAUUAAGAACAGUGUAAUUGUUAGCAUUUGGAUUUUUAAUGGGGACCUUGAUAGGGUGAACAACCUAAAAUUUUUGCACAACAAACUUCCACUACUUGUAUCUACUUAAUACUAAAACAUUCUAGUUCAUGUGAAGUGGGCAUGAAAAGAAAUAUUAUGUUGGCGGCUCAUUCUUUACCGAUGGAAAAUUAAUUAUUCUAUUAUAUUAACUUAUAAUAAACUUGGAUACUUUUUAUUACAUGGUUAAAUCGCACUUUAAAAAUGGUAAACACUUUGAAAUAAACUAUUUAUUUAACAGA
Diorhabda sublineata is the source of this 1037-nucleotide long non-coding RNA. RefSeq lists it as uncharacterized. The record is from RefSeq and is a predicted model, not a curated record. Lineage: Eukaryota; Metazoa; Arthropoda; Insecta; Coleoptera; Chrysomelidae. The transcript is spliced from 3 exons.